UCCCAGAUUCACAGGCUCUCCACAUGGACAGAUAUGAAAAUGCUCCUAUGAUAAUGGUACAAGAUGCACAAAUGAAAUACAGAGGGAUGCAGUUUUGUUUUAUACUGCUUUCAUUAAGAACCCAAUUGCACGGCAAAAUCAGUUAGUAUAUAUCUCGUUCCAUGUGACAGCCAAUUUUCCACGGAGAUUGGAAACUCUUGGAGCCUUCUAAUCCUUGAUCUCACUUCGGGAAUACAAGAGCUGGGAGUUAUAGCAUGUUUUUAAAUUGUUUAAAGUAAAGCUUUGCUGUUAACAAGCACUCAUCCCUGGCUCCUGGACAAUGGAACUUCUGUGGAUGGAUGGUGCAUUGCCUUGACUCCAGAUCUGCUUUGAUGAUGAAAUACAUCUGAGACAUACUUAUUGGUCCAACAUAGCACAACAAAACAAAACCCAUUGUCCUUGCCCUCAUGGAACUCACUGAAACUUAAAUGAGAACUUCCAGCCAUAAUCUUCCUGGCCUUGGCAGAGCAAAGGAGGUGUACCUGUGAGGGUACCAACAGGACACAAGUGCCGUGAUCUAAAAGGUCCACUUUGGCCAACAGCUAAGAGUUUCCUCAGGACUCCGAAAUCAGUGGUUACUGACAUCUCUUCACCAACUAAGCAGUCAACCUUGAUUGAAAUUAACACCAUUUAAAGAUAAAAACCUGAUAUGCCUAUCUUAGGAGAAAGUUGUUAUAUGCAUUUGUUUCUGGAUUGGAUUUGCCCCUGCUGUUUUAAAGUGUUCUCAAAUGUUCUGCUCAUGACCCUUCUCAUCAAAGAUGUGGUUUAAGAACAUAAAUCAAUGAGGUUGUGUGAUAUGGAGAACUGCCUCUGGUAACCACAAACAUGUU
This 869-nucleotide long non-coding RNA is filed under the name Homo sapiens (human). Its description in RNAcentral is "HSALNT0203765". The record is from RNAcentral. Lineage: Eukaryota; Metazoa; Chordata; Mammalia; Primates; Hominidae.